RNAcentral lists this ribosomal RNA (2906 nucleotides) under Serratia marcescens. RNAcentral describes it as "23S ribosomal RNA". It matches the Rfam family "Bacterial large subunit ribosomal RNA". Lineage: Bacteria; Pseudomonadati; Pseudomonadota; Gammaproteobacteria; Enterobacterales; Yersiniaceae. The record is from RNAcentral.
UUAAGUGACUAAGCGUACACGGUGGAUGCCUAGGCAGUCAGAGGCGAUGAAGGGCGUGCUAAUCUGCGAAAAGCGUCGGUAAGGUGAUAUGAACCGUUACAACCGGCGAUACCCGAAUGGGGAAACCCAGUGUGUUUCGACACACUAUCAUGUCAUGAAUACAUAGUGGCAUGAGGCGAACCGGGGGAACUGAAACAUCUAAGUACCCCGAGGAAAAGAAAUCAACCGAGAUUCCCCCAGUAGCGGCGAGCGAACGGGGAGGAGCCCAGAACCUGAAUCGGCUUGUGUGUUAGUGGAAGCGUCUGGAAAGUCGCGCAGCAAAGGGUGAUAGCCCCGUACACUAAAAUGCACAGGUCGUGAGUUCGAUGAGUAGGGCGGGACACGUGACAUCCUGUCUGAAUAUGGGGGGACCAUCCUCCAAGGCUAAAUACUCCUGACUGACCGAUAGUGAACCAGUACCGUGAGGGAAAGGCGAAAAGAACCCCGGCGAGGGGAGUGAAAUAGAACCUGAAACCGUGUACGUACAAGCAGUGGGAGCACCUUCGUGGUGUGACUGCGUACCUUUUGUAUAAUGGGUCAGCGACUUAUAUUUUGUAGCAAGGUUAACCGUAUAGGGGAGCCGUAGGGAAACCGAGUCUUAACUGGGCGAAUAGUUGCAAGGUAUAGACCCGAAACCCGGUGAUCUAGCCAUGGGCAGGUUGAAGGUUGGGUAACACUAACUGGAGGACCGAACCGACUAAUGUUGAAAAAUUAGCGGAUGACUUGUGGCUGGGGGUGAAAGGCCAAUCAAACCGGGAGAUAGCUGGUUCUCCCCGAAAGCUAUUUAGGUAGCGCCUCGUGAACUCAUCUUCGGGGGUAGAGCACUGUUUCGGCUAGGGGGCCAUCCCGGCUUACCAAACCGAUGCAAACUCCGAAUACCGAAGAAUGUUAUCACGGGAGACACACGGCGGGUGCUAACGUCCGUCGUGAAGAGGGAAACAACCCAGACCGCCAGCUAAGGUCCCAAAGUCAUGGUUAAGUGGGAAACGAUGUGGGAAGGCAUAGACAGCCAGGAUGUUGGCUUAGAAGCAGCCAUCAUUUAAAGAAAGCGUAAUAGCUCACUGGUCGAGUCGGCCUGCGCGGAAGAUGUAACGGGGCUAAACCAUGCACCGAAGCUGCGGCAGCGACGCUUAGGCGUUGUUGGGUAGGGGAGCGUUCUGUAAGCCGUUGAAGGUGGCCUGUGAGGGUUGCUGGAGGUAUCAGAAGUGCGAAUGCUGACAUAAGUAACGAUAAAGCGGGUGAAAAGCCCGCUCGCCGGAAGACCAAGGGUUCCUGUCCAACGUUAAUCGGGGCAGGGUGAGUCGACCCCUAAGGCGAGGCUGAAAAGCGUAGUCGAUGGGAAACAGGUUAAUAUUCCUGUACUUGGUGUUACUGCGAAGGGGGGACGGAGAAGGCUAGGCUAGCCGGGCGACGGUUGUCCCGGUUUAAGCGUGUAGGGGGUGUGACCUGGUAAAUCCGGUUGCAUAUCAACCCUGAGGCGUGAUGACGAUGCACUACGGUGCAGAAGUAGUUGAUGCCCUGCUUCCAGGAAAAGCCUCUAAGCUCCAGGUAACAUUGAAUCGUACCCCAAACCGACACAGGUGGUCAGGUAGAGAAUACCAAGGCGCUUGAGAGAACUCGGGUGAAGGAACUAGGCAAAAUGGUGCCGUAACUUCGGGAGAAGGCACGCUGGCAUGUAGGUGAAGUCCCUUGCGGAUGGAGCUGAAGCCAGUCGAAGAUACCAGCUGGCUGCAACUGUUUAAUAAAAACACAGCACUGUGCAAACACGAAAGUGGACGUAUACGGUGUGACGCCUGCCCGGUGCUGGAAGGUUAAUUGAUGGGGUCAGCCGCAAGGCGAAGCUCUUGAUCGAAGCCCCAGUAAACGGCGGCCGUAACUAUAACGGUCCUAAGGUAGCGAAAUUCCUUGUCGGGUAAGUUCCGACCUGCACGAAUGGCGUAAUGAUGGCCAGGCUGUCUCCACCCGAGACUCAGUGAAAUUGAACUCGCUGUGAAGAUGCAGUGUACCCGCGGCAAGACGGAAAGACCCCGUGAACCUUUACUAUAGCUUGACACUGAACAUUGAGCCUUGAUGUGUAGGAUAGGUGGGAGGCUUUGAAGCGUGGACGCCAGUCUGCGUGGAGCCAUCCUUGAAAUACCACCCUUUAAUGUUUGAUGUUCUAACUCGGCCCCAUAAUCUGGGGUGAGGACAGUGUCUGGUGGGUAGUUUGACUGGGGCGGUCUCCUCCCAAAGAGUAACGGAGGAGCACGAAGGUUAGCUAAUCACGGUCGGACAUCGUGAGGUUAGUGCAAAGGCAUAAGCUAGCUUGACUGCGAGAGUGACGGCUCGAGCAGGUACGAAAGUAGGUCUUAGUGAUCCGGUGGUUCUGAAUGGAAGGGCCAUCGCUCAACGGAUAAAAGGUACUCCGGGGAUAACAGGCUGAUACCGCCCAAGAGUUCAUAUCGACGGCGGUGUUUGGCACCUCGAUGUCGGCUCAUCACAUCCUGGGGCUGAAGUAGGUCCCAAGGGUAUGGCUGUUCGCCAUUUAAAGUGGUACGCGAGCUGGGUUUAGAACGUCGUGAGACAGUUCGGUCCCUAUCUGCCGUGGGCGUUGGAAGAUUGAGAGGGGUUGCUCCUAGUACGAGAGGACCGGAGUGAACGCACCACUGGUGUUCGGGUUGUCAUGCCAAUGGCAUUGCCCGGUAGCUAAGUGCGGAAAAGAUAAGCGCUGAAAGCAUCUAAGCGCGAAACUUGCCUCAAGAUGAGUCUUCCCUGGGCCUUCAAGGCCCCUGAAGGAACGUUUAAGACUAAGACGUUGAUAGGCUGGGUGUGUAAGUGCAGCGAUGCAUUGAGCUAACCAGUACUAAUGAUCCGUGAGGCUUAACCUU